Molecule: ribosomal RNA, 449 nt
Filed under: uncultured bacterium
Lineage: Bacteria
Description: bacterial SSU rRNA
Rfam family: Bacterial small subunit ribosomal RNA
Source: RNAcentral
UCCAGACUCCUACGGGAGGCAGCAGUGGGGGAUAUUGCACAAUGGGGGGAACCCUGAUGCAGCGACGCCGCGUGGGUGAAGGAGCGUUUCGGCGCGUAAAGCCCUAUCGGCAGGGAAGAAGGAGGACGGUACCUGACUAAGAAGCCCCGGCUAACUACGUGCCAGCAGCCGCGGUAAUACGUAGGGGGCAAGCGUUAUCCGGAUUUACUGGGUGUAAAGGGGGCGCAGACGGCAGCGCAAGCCAGGAGUGAAAGCCCGGGGCCCAACCCCGGGACUGCUCUUGGAACUGCGCGGCUGGAGUGCAGGAGGGGCAGGCGGAAUUCCUGGUGUAGCGGUGAAAUGCGUAGAUAUAAGGAGGAACACCGGUGGCGAAGGCGGCCUGCUGGACUGCGACUGACGUUGAGGCCCGAAAGCGUGGGGAGCAAACAGGAUUAGAUACCCGCGUAAGC